AGAGUUUGAUCCUGGCUCAGGAUAAACGCUGGCGGCGCACAUAAGACAUGCAAGUCGAACGGACCAAAUUUUUUAGUUUACUAAGAGAAGAGGUUAGUGGCGGACUGGUGAGUAACGCGUAAGCAACCUGCCUAUUAGUAUGGAAUAACAGUGAGAAAUCACUGCUAAUACCGUAUAAGCUGCGAAUAGCACAUGCUAUAAACAGAAAAGGAGCAAUUCGCUAAUAGAUGGGCUUGCGUCUGAUUAGUUAGUUGGUGAGGUAACGGCUCACCAAGACGAUGAUCAGUAGCCGGACUGAGAGGUUAAACGGCCACAUUGGGACUGAGAUACGGCCCAGACUCCUACGGGAGGCAGCAGUCGGGAAUAUUGCGCAAUGGAGGAAACUCUGACGCAGUGACGCCGCGUGCAGGAAGAAGGUUUUCGAAUUGUAAACUGCUUUAGACAGGGACGAAACAAAUGACGGUACCUGUAGAAUAAGCUCCGGCUAACUACGUGCCAGCAGCCGCGGUAAUACGUAGGGAGCAAGCGUUAUCCGGAUUUAUUGGGUGUAAAGGGUGCGUAGACGGAUAUACAAGUUAGUUGUGAAAUACCUCGGCUUAACUGGGGAACUGCAACUAAAACUAUAAAUCUUGAGUACUGGAGGGGAAAGCGGAAUUCCUAGUGUAGCGGUGAAAUGCGUAGAUAUUAGGAAGAACACCGGUGGCGAAGGCGGCUUUCUGGACAGCAACUGACGUUGAGGCACGAAAGUGUGGGGAGCAAACAGGAUUAGAUACCCUGGUAGUCCACACCGUAAACGAUGGAUACUAGGUGUUGGCUGUGAUGAGCAGUCAGUGCCGUCGCAAACGCAGUAAGUAUCCCACCUGGGGAGUACGACCGCAAGGUUGAAACUCAAAGGAAUUGACGGGGGCCCGCACAAGCAGUGGAGUAUGUGGUUUAAUUCGACGCAACGCGAAGAACCUUACCAAGGCUUGACAUAUACAGGAAUAACAUAGAAAUAUGUUAGCUCUUCGGAGCCUGUAUACAGGUGGUGCAUGGUUGUCGUCAGCUCGUGUCGUGAGAUGUUAGGUUAAGUCCUGCAACGAGCGCAACCCUUAUUUUCAGUUGCCAGCACGUAAUGGUGGGAACUCUGAAAAGACUGCCGGUGAUAAAUCGGAGGAAGGUGGGGAUGACGUCAAAUCAUCAUGCCCUUUAUGUCUUGGGCAACACACGUACUACAAUGGUCGUUACAGAGAGAAGCGAAAGAGUGAUCUGGAGCCAAACUUGAAAAGCGAUCUCAGUUCGGACUGAAGGCUGAAAUUCGCCUUCACGAAGUCGGAAUUGCUAGUAAUGGCAGGUCAGCAUACUGCCGUGAAUACGUUCCCGGGCCUUGUACACACCGCCCGUCACACCAUGAGAGUUGGGAAUACCCGAAGCCUGUGAGCUAACUUUUAUGAAGCAGCAGUCGAAGGUAGAAUCAAUGAUUGGGGUGAAGUCGUAACAAGGUAGCCGUAGGAGAACCUGCGGCUGGAUCACCUCCUU
This 1518-nucleotide ribosomal RNA is filed under the name uncultured bacterium. RNAcentral describes it as "bacterial SSU rRNA". It matches the Rfam family "Bacterial small subunit ribosomal RNA". The record is from RNAcentral.